CACACCAAGGAGAGAGCACUUGUCUUCCUGCCCCUCACAUUUAUUUUGUGUGCCUGAGUUCUUCGGAUGGUCUGUUUUUAAGGAUCUUCAGGGUGCUGGCGCCCAAAUGAACCCGAUUUCUUUCCUAGUAACUUUUAUUUCCCACGUACUGGCUUUCAAGCAGCAGGAAGAUGCACUCAGCUCAGUAACAAAUCUGCAGCCCAUAUAAGCAAAGACUGCGGCACACGUGAAAAGCCAGAGAGAGUGAAUGUGGAUGAGGAAAGAGAAGGGUAGGAGGAAGGCAGACCAGCCAGAGACAGAAAGCGAAACAGAGCUCUGAGACACGGCCUGCUACCGAAACGCCGAGCAGGCAUGGCGGGAGUGGAUGUGGUGGUGGAUUCAGAUGCACGAGGUAUGCAGAAGUAGGCAACGUCCUCACUGCCAUGAAAUCCUAGUUUCUGCUGAGCUCCAUCUAAAUAGAAGCACCCUAGGACAAAAAUUAGAAUGCUGCCACAGGUAUCUUCUAAAGACAACUUCAGAUACUCAUAUGCUUUAUUUCUAUGAAGUUCCCCGACA
Fukomys damarensis (Damara mole-rat) is the source of this 555-nucleotide long non-coding RNA. RefSeq lists it as uncharacterized. The transcript has 3 exons. Lineage: Eukaryota; Metazoa; Chordata; Mammalia; Rodentia; Bathyergidae. The record is from RefSeq and is a predicted model, not a curated record.